AGUGAACGCUGGCGGUAGGCCUAACACAUGCAAGUCGAACGGCAGCACAGUAAGAGCUUGCUCUUACGGGUGGCGAGUGGCGGACGGGUGAGGAAUACAUCGGAAUCUACUUUUUCGUGGGGGAUAACGUAGGGAAACUUACGCUAAUACCGCAUACGACCUACGGGUGAAGGCAGGGGAUCUUCGGACCUUGCGCGAUUGAAUGAGCCGAUGUCGGAUUAGCUAGUUGGCGGGGUAAAGGCCCACCAAGGCGACGAUCCGUAGCUGGUCUGAGAGGAUGAUCAGCCACACCGGAACUGAGACACGGUCCAGACUCCUACGGGAGGCAGCAGUGGGGAAUAUUGGACAAUGGGCGCAAGCCUGAUCCAGCCAUACCGCGUGGGUGAAGAAGGCCUUCGGGUUGUAAAGCCCUUUUGUUGGGAAAGAAAAGCAGCAGGUUAAUACCCCGCUGUUCUGACGGUACCCAAAGAAUAAGCACCGGCUAACUUCGUG
This 492-nucleotide ribosomal RNA is filed under the name uncultured bacterium. RNAcentral's name for it is "partial 16S ribosomal RNA". It matches the Rfam family "Bacterial small subunit ribosomal RNA", at positions 29 to 507 of the family's 1533-position model. The record is from RNAcentral.